RNAcentral lists this small RNA (169 nucleotides) under Erwinia tracheiphila. RNAcentral describes it as "SraG RNA". It matches the Rfam family "SraG RNA". From Rfam's summary of the family: This RNA was discovered in E. coli during a large scale screen. Evidence was found for specific cleavage of this RNA. The record is from Rfam by way of RNAcentral. Lineage: Bacteria; Pseudomonadati; Pseudomonadota; Gammaproteobacteria; Enterobacterales; Erwiniaceae.
CUCCGCUUGCAUCCUCGCGACUAAUGACAACCCUCAAUCCCACCCGGGAUGAAGCCUCUCAUUAGCCGCGCGAACCUCUGCAACUGGAGAUCACACUCAGCAACAAUACAAUAGUUUGGUCUGAAUUGCUGCCUUCAACCUGAAAAAAGGGGCCGUAAGGCCCCUUUUA